UGAGGAAUAUUGGGCAAUGCCCGCAAGGGUGACCCAGCAACGCCGCGUGGAGGAUGAAUGUCGUAAGAUUGUAAACUCCUGUUAGAGGGGAAGAAUAGUACCGGUUGGACCGGUAUAUGACUGUACCCUCAGAGAAAGCCCCGGCUAACUACGUGCCAGCAGCCGCGGUAAUACGUAGGGGGCAAGCGUUGUCCGGGUUUACUGGGUGUAAAGGGCGCGCAGGCGGGAUAAAAAGUCAGUGGUGAAAUCCUACAGCUUAACUGUAGAACUGCCUUUGAUACUUUUAUUCUUGAGUUCGGGAGAGAGAGACGGAAUUCCAGGUGUAGUGGUGAAAUACGUAGAUAUCUGGAAGAACACCAGUUGCGAAGGCGGUCUCUUGGUCCGACACUGACGCUGAGGCGCGAAAGCGUGGGGAGCAAACA
RNAcentral lists this ribosomal RNA (422 nucleotides) under uncultured bacterium. Its description in RNAcentral is "bacterial SSU rRNA". It matches the Rfam family "Bacterial small subunit ribosomal RNA", at positions 355 to 774 of the family's 1533-position model. The record is from RNAcentral.